Pimephales promelas (fathead minnow) is the source of this 2707-nucleotide non-coding RNA. The record is from RefSeq and is a predicted model, not a curated record. NCBI's taxonomy places the organism in Eukaryota, Metazoa, Chordata, Actinopteri, Cypriniformes, Leuciscidae.
GAUGUUGUUGUGGCGUCAGGAGGAAGUUUUGACAUGUUGUUAUUGUGAGGGCUCCAUGGUGAGAGCAAUCAGCUCACGGAAACUUUGAGCGUGGGUGAGAAGUUUGGCUGGAAUUCCAGUGCAGCUCAACACUUUAGAUCCUCCAUGCUUAAUGGCUGCCGCCAAUCCGUUCACACAAGGUGCUUCCCUGAACAGCCUUUUGGAAGAAUCUAUCAGGAAAAUCCGUAACAACAAGGCACAUUGUGUGGCGGCCCCUUGUGGCCGGUGUAAUUUGAACGGACAGCGACGUGAAUGAAGUCCAUUUUGCCACAGCCGCUUUCAUUUGGCCAUGAUGAAUAGCGCUCUGUGCCACAGGAGAGCGGUCACUCACACUGAGGAUCACGCCCGGACGGCAGAGGGCUUUCCGUGCCGUUACAGGUUAUUAAUCGCCGGGUCGCUUCGCUCUGGUGCUUCUUGCCAGAGAUGGAGGACUUGACACGGGCAGAGGUGCCAUGCUGAAGGAGUGUAUCACAGUCUGGGAGCUGGGCCUUCACAUUCAGCCCAGAACAAAAGGCUUUCUUGUGAUAGAUUGGCAGAGCUUUUCUCUGUGCCUCCACAGGCCUCUUCUGCCCAUUUCUUUAGUAAUGCUCUUGUUAGUGCACCGCAGUUUCCUGUCUUCGCUGGUUUCGCUUCUGGUUUUUUUAAAAAAAAGCUGUAACUUAGGCAAGAUUAAAUGCGUCAUACUGCUCAUUUGAUAUCGUGUUGUGCUGUUAACGAUGAUGUAUCUAUUUUUUAUGGGUCCAUUUCUCAAGCUCUAAUCUUUAUGCUUGUUAGUUACUCUACCAUUCAGAAGACAUCAAUACUUUUAUUCUGCAAGGACACAUUCAAUUGAUUAAAAGUGACAAGACAUUUACAGAAUUUAAAAGAAUCCUGGAAAAGAAAAAUAGCACAGUUCCCACAAUAAAUAUUUUAAUGACAUACUGACUUUGGACCUAUAGGGUACAUCAAUGGAAAAAGUGUGUAUUAAUUAUUAAUCAUUUUAAAACAAACAUAUUAUUUUUCAGUAUACUCUGUAAUAGGGAACUGCAGAACCAAAAUACAGUCAACAUUUGAAGUGGAUAUUCUUCAAAAUUCAUGUAUAACUUUGAAAGGUUUUGAUCCACUUCACUGUAUAUUACUGCAAUAAACUAUAUUAUUUUAAUAUAUAUUUUUUUAGGAAUUCACAAUAUAUUGGUACCAAGUCUCUUGAUAUUAGACUUCAUCUAAUAUCUAAUAUCUUAGAUAUUAGACUUUAUCAGUAUCAGAUGAUAUUGGAUAUUUACUUUUACGUAUUAUACCAUCGAAUGUUAGGUUAAAGUAGGUAUACACUUUUAUCAUUUAAAAUGGUAGUUUUUAGUGUUUAUCUUUGAGUUAUUUAGUCAAACUAAUAAAUAGUUUUAAUAUCAAGUGACAAGUUCUGUAUCUAUUGGUGCAUCUCUGAUUAUUGUAGUGUCAUACAUUUCAAUAUCAAAACAUAACAUUGGCUCAACCAAUGGCACGAGUUGAGGCUGUUUAUCAACCAAUGGUUGAGUGUUUGGAAACCUGUCUAUAAACAUAGUUUUUGCAAUUCCAUUUUUUAAAAAAUUUUUAUUAAGUGAGCAUUUAAAAAAUAAAACCAGCAGAAUAUUUUCACACAAAGUAUCAUUAAAAUACAGGGCAGAAGUUUUAACCUUUUGUUUGAAACAUUUUCCAGCCUUCUGUCAUUCUUUCCCCCUCGUAGAUUCAUUGGAUUUGCUAAGCAUCUUCCGAAGUCGUUCUGCUCACCAGUCUGAGGCCUUCAGUGGCCGUGAGCGUGCAGCCGAGCGGAGAGGUUUGAGACUGAAGAAUGUGGGUCAUGUUUAAGUCCACUCGUGCACUGAACCACAUCUUCCCAUAAAGUCUUUAUGCAAUCCAUCUGUGGCUGUCAGAGCAAGCCUGAGCGUUCUGUUUGUGUCUGUGCUGCCACCAAUUACUAUCCAUAUUCCCUCGGGGAGCCUCCAUUGAACCUGGCUCUGAGAUUUUACACAAAGCCAAUUUGUCUGUGUUUUAAAGUCCCAAAUAUCACAGUUUCACAGCAGCUUUGUUUUGUUUGACAAAUGAAUCCGAGUUGAGUGGAUCUUAUCAGCAUCCUUUCCUCUUGUCGGGUUGAUACGAGUGUGAUUCUCUGGGGUGAAGCCGUGCCUGUGUAAGCAGAGAGCUGUGUGUUCUGUGUGCGGCGUUUUAAUGCGCAGCACUGCAGGGCUUUGCAUUGCAUGCACAUUUAUAUCUCUAUUCAGCUUGUUUAUUUAGCCUUGUAGCCAUAUGGCAACAUUAGAUUUUUUUUUUUCUUCACUUUUAUUAAUCACAAAAACUCUAUUACAUUGUUGGAAAUCAUGGAGCAGGCAUUAAUGUAACUAAUAAAAUUGUUUUUUUUUUUUUAAAGCUAUGUAACCUUUGAUAAUGUUAUGAACCUUUGAUAAUGUUAUCUGUAUCUUGUUUUAAUGUUUGCUGACUGUAUCUAAAUGUUGUUGUUAACUGAUCAACUUUUAUUUAUCGAUUUACGCAAUGUUUAUGAAAGUAUAAUUGCAUUUAACCAUUACCCAAUCAUGAUCCUGCUAAACUAAACUGGGGAUUUUGUCUAAAUACAUACAGAUUUUUCUGUUGUUUUACCAUGAUUUUCUUAUUUUAUCAUCAGCAGUUUUUAUAUAUCAAAUUCCAGAUGUAUGUUUAU